Molecule: ribosomal RNA, 459 nt
Filed under: uncultured bacterium
Lineage: Bacteria
Description: SSU rRNA
Rfam family: Bacterial small subunit ribosomal RNA
Source: RNAcentral
AGAAUCAACGCUGGCGGCGUGCCUAACACAUGCAAGUCGAACGAGAAAGUGGAGCAAUCCAUGAGUAAAGUGGCGCACGGGUGAGUAACACGUGACUAACCUACCCUCGAGUGGGGAAUAACCUCGGGAAACCGGGGCUAAUACCGCAUAACAUCUACGGAUCAAAUGCGUAAGCAGCUUGAGGAGGGGGUCGCGGCUGAUUAGCUAGUUGGCGGGGUAACGGCCCACCAAGGCAGUGAUCAGUAGCCGGCCUGAGAGGGCGCACGGCCACACUGGAACUGAAACACGGUCCAGACUCCUACGGGAGGCAGCAGUGGGGAAUUUGCGCAAUGGGGGAAACCCUGACGCAGCAACGCCGCGUGGAGGAUGAAGCCCCUUGGGGUGUAAACUCCUUUCGAUCGGGACGAUUAUGACGGUACCGGAUGAAGAAGCACCGGCUAACUCUGUGCCAGCAGCCGC